This is an RNA transcript of Neltuma alba, 1229 nucleotides long. It is a transcript of the gene named 40S ribosomal protein S3-2-like, with no coding region annotated. NCBI's taxonomy places the organism in Eukaryota, Viridiplantae, Streptophyta, Magnoliopsida, Fabales, Fabaceae. The transcript is spliced from 4 exons. The record is from RefSeq and is a predicted model, not a curated record.
GAAAAAGAACGAUUAUUUUAUUGAGUUACAUUUUUGUGAAGCCAAAAUCUCUCGAUUUUUUUUCCCUGAAAAACUGUCAAUUUUUUUAAUUAUUUGCUUUCUAUGUGUUUUUUUAAAUAAUCUUUUUGGGGUUAGAUCUUGCUUCAACUUGGAUUUUGUGCUAAUUUCUGUUUAAAUCUAAUUUUAGCAUUGUCUAUUAUCCCUUGCUCAAGAUGUUAUGGGUUAAGAGGAUUUUCCAUCAAUGCUUAUAUGGACUAAAUGGGAGUUUUGUUAGUUCUCGGGAACUGGUGUUAGUUCUUGGGGUUCGGGAACUCCUACAUCUCACUCUUUCCCUUCCUUUGUGGAUGCUGUUGAUGAUUUGAUGAAACCGUCUGGAUGUGCUGGAACUGAAAUUUGAUCAUAUUCCACUGAUCUAAGGGCUUGCUAUGGUGACUUGGGGUUUGUUAUGGAAAGUGGUGCCAAAGGUUGUGAGGUCAAUAUAUUGAUAUGAUCCAAGAUGGAUUUUUGCAAGCGACAUGCUCAGAGUCAGAGCAGAGUGCUAGAUCUAUGAAAUUCAAGGACAAGUACAUGAUACACGUUGAAAACCACCAAAAUCAUAGUCUUGGUGGAAGUGGGUGAUUAGUUGCUUCCACCAAAAUCAUGGUUUAGCUGGUUUCCAACCUGAUAUCAAACCAGGUACAUCAUGAUACACACAGAGGCAUUUGCUUUUGAGACAGGGUGACCUCAUUAAGCUGCAAUGGUGGAAAUAAUGCUUUGUUGGGGUCCUAAGGGUAAGCAAGGGCCAACUAAAUCACUUCCUGAUUUAAUUACAAAUCCGUCUGCCAGAGGAGGAAGAAGAUCACGCUGUCGGGCCUCUGUUACAGCCUGCCAACAUAGAAAUGCUGUGGUUUAGACAAUCACCACCAUUGUUUUAUCAUUUUUGUUUUGUUGCUGUACUUUUAUGGGCAGGGAUUUAAUCAUUGAAGUUGAUCGCUAUGCUAUGCGCUUCUCUUUCUUUUUAUCUUUUCCUUUUCUUUUCUCUUAAAAAAACUCUUUUUUGUGGUCUUCUCAUAUGUACAACUGUGACUCAGUGUUUCAUGAUGAGCAUGUUCAUUGACGGCAGGCCUUCCAACCCAUCGAUUGCCUUAAACUUCUUGGCUGACUUGUUGCAUAACUUUCUGUAUCAGUAUGGCUUGUAAUGACUUUUAUAGGCAUAUAAUAAUUUAUAACUUUGCAGUAUUCUUUUGUAA